GACGAACGCUGGCGGCGUGCUUAACACAUGCAAGUCGAACGGAAAGGCCCUGCUUUUGUGGGGUGCUCGAGUGGCGAACGGGUGAGUAACACGUGAGUAACCUGCCCUUGACUUUGGGAUAACUUCAGGAAACUGGGGCUAAUACCGGAUAGGAGCUCCUGCUGCAUGGUGGGGGUUGGAAAGUUUCGGCGGUUGGGGAUGGACUCGCGGCUUAUCAGCUUGUUGGUGGGGUAGUGGCUUACCAAGGCUUUGACGGGUAGCCGGCCUGAGAGGGUGACCGGCCACAUUGGGACUGGGAUACGGCGCGGACUCCUACGGAAGGAAGAAGUGGAGAAUAUUGCACAAUGGGCGGAAGCCGGAUGCAGCAACGCCGCGUGCGGGAUGACGGCCUUCGCGUUGUAAACCGCUUUCGCCUGUGACGAAGCGUGAGUGACGGUAAUGGGUAAAGAAGCACCGGCUAACUACGUG
This 468-nucleotide ribosomal RNA is filed under the name uncultured bacterium. RNAcentral describes it as "partial 16S ribosomal RNA". It matches the Rfam family "Bacterial small subunit ribosomal RNA", at positions 28 to 507 of the family's 1533-position model. The record is from RNAcentral.